Molecule: ribosomal RNA, 502 nt
Filed under: uncultured bacterium
Lineage: Bacteria
Description: bacterial SSU rRNA
Rfam family: Bacterial small subunit ribosomal RNA
Source: RNAcentral
GAUGAACGCUAGCUACAGGCUUAACACAUGCAAGUCGAGGGGCAGCAUUUUUAUAGCAAUAUAAAGAUGGCGACCGGCGCACGGGUGAGUAACACGUAUCCAACCUGCCGAUAACUCGGGGAUAACCCUUCGAAAGAAGGCCUAAUACCCGAUGGCAUAUCCCUUCCGCCUGGUGGGGAUAUUAAAGAACUUCGGUUAUCGAUGGGGAUGCGUUCCAUUAGGCAGUUGGUGAGGUAACGGCUCACCAAACCUUCGAUGGAUAGGGGUUCUGAGAGGAAGGUCCCCCACAUUGGAACUGAGACACGGUCCAAACUCCUACGGGAGGCAGCAGUGAGGAAUAUUGGUCAAUGGACGAGAGUCUGAACCAGCCAAGUAGCGUGAAGGAUGAAGGUCCUAUGGAUUGUAAACUUCUUUAUACGGGAAUAAAGUGCAGUAUGCAUACUGUUUUGUAUGUACCGUAUGAAUAAGGAUCGGCUAACUCCGUGCCAGCAGCCGCAGUAAC